GGAACACGAAUCGAAAGAACUAUCUAUGGCUUGUAAUUUCCAUUCAAGAUAUGAGAUCUAAAGUCGUUUAUGGAAAAGCCGUAGAAGGAAGAGGCAGGGACAUGAAUAAGAAGAUUGGAGGUAGGUUAAACCAAGGACCAUAAAGAUGGGAUCAUGCUGCUGCAACUAGAUCAUCGAACCUUUCUGAAUUUGCUUCUCUUGAGGAAGAAAAGGCCCAAAUGUUCCUUUCAUUUUUCUGUAACAGCAGACUCGUUCUAUAGUCUUUUUUAUAAUUUGGUUGUUGGCUGGUAUUAGAGAAGCUUGAUGCGAGGACAAAAUAACCGAGGUGAAUCUCGCUAUCAUGGUAAGGUUGGUGAUAUCGAAGAAAGUUCGAUCUUAUUCUAACCGUUCCUAUUCAAAUGCCGCUACUGCUACAGGUACAUGUACUACUGUAUCUAUUAGUUAUGUAAUCAAAUUCAAAAGUUAACAGUUGGAGAACGAUAUACAAGAGAUACCAGUAAUUCAUCAUUUAAACUUUCAAUAGGAAAGGGAAUAAGUGCAUCGACACUAGGAUUUAAUAGCACGAAAAGCCAAAGGAGAUUUAUAAAUCUUUUUAUUGUUUUGACAGGUCUUUAGUAAUGAAACGAUUCUUAUUGUUUUUAGGUUUGUUGUGUUGGCUUCCAAUCUCAUUAGUCAAUGUGAGU
This is a long non-coding RNA of Erigeron canadensis, 683 nucleotides long. RefSeq lists it as uncharacterized. Lineage: Eukaryota; Viridiplantae; Streptophyta; Magnoliopsida; Asterales; Asteraceae. The transcript is spliced from 5 exons. The record is from RefSeq and is a predicted model, not a curated record.